AAGGGGAGCAAUCCCUGAGUAAAGUGGCGACCGGGUGAGUAACACGUGACUAACCUACCCUCGAGUGUGGAAUAACAUCGGGAAACCGAUGCUAAUACCGCAUAACAUCGCAAGAUCAGAGGAGCAAUCCGCUUGAGGAGGGGGUCGCGGCUGAUUAGCUAGUUGGCGGGGUAACGGCCCACCAAGGCGAAGAUCGGUAGCCGGCCUGAGAGGGCGCACGGCCACACUGGAACUGAAACACGGUCCAGACUCCUACGGGAGGCAGCAGUGGGGAAUUUUGCGCAAUGGGGGAAACCCUGACGCAGCAACGCCGCGUGGAGGAUGAAGCCCCUUGGG
Molecule: ribosomal RNA, 336 nt
Filed under: uncultured bacterium
Lineage: Bacteria
Description: bacterial SSU rRNA
Rfam family: Bacterial small subunit ribosomal RNA
Source: RNAcentral